ACGCUCGACACCUACGGGGGGCAGCAGUGGGGAAUAUUGCACAAUGGGGGAAACCCUGAUGCAGCGACGCCGCGUGAGCGAAGAAGUAUUUCGGUAUGUAAAGCUCUAUCGGCAGGGAAGAAACUGACGGUACCUAACUAAGAAGCACCGGUUAAAUACGUACCAGCAGCCGCGGUAAUCUGAGCGGGCUGGCAAGGC
RNAcentral lists this ribosomal RNA (198 nucleotides) under uncultured bacterium. RNAcentral's name for it is "partial 16S ribosomal RNA". It matches the Rfam family "Bacterial small subunit ribosomal RNA", at positions 328 to 539 of the family's 1533-position model. The record is from RNAcentral.